Non-coding RNA from Oryza glaberrima (African rice), 203 nucleotides. Lineage: Eukaryota; Viridiplantae; Streptophyta; Magnoliopsida; Poales; Poaceae. The record is from Rfam.
UAUAAGGGAUUUUGAGUUUUUGCUUGUAAUAUUUGACCAUUCGUCUUAUUCAAAAAAUUUUGAAAUUAUUAAUUAUUUUAUUUGUGACUUACUUUAUUAUCUACAGUAUUUUAAGCACAACUUUUUGUUUUUUAUAUUUGCAAAAAAAAUUUGAAUAAGACGAGUGGUCAAACGUUGCAAGCAAAAACUGAAAAUCCCUUAUA